UCUAGAGGGCCGGUUGGAGAGGUUGUAUAUCUUCUCCCCUUUGCAGUACAACAAUAUUGUUUUGUUACUAACAUGUAGGAGUCUUCAGUAGACAAUACACUGGGUAUUAAAAGACUGAAAAAAACCUUCUAUAUCAAUUUAUUUAACUCAGGACUGCUUUAUGCAUUCUUCUAAGUCAAGGAUUUACACUGAGAAACAUAACAAAAGUUAUCAAAUGCAAGCAGAAUUUUGAAUUCAAAAGAUCUAAAUGCUGCCAAAAUAUUAAAUUAUUUAUCAGAAAAAAAAAAAGCACUUCAGUAAUUUGAAUCAAGUCUUAUUGCUUUCUCUGUUUUGACCAGGUGAUGAGAGUGUUGAUCAUG
RNAcentral lists this unclassified non-coding RNA (359 nucleotides) under Hevea brasiliensis (rubber tree). The record is from RNAcentral. Lineage: Eukaryota; Viridiplantae; Streptophyta; Magnoliopsida; Malpighiales; Euphorbiaceae.